GAUAGUUGAGAAAUUUAGUAUCUUAGUAAUUUUUAGCUGUUAUUGUGGAAGACCUCCAAGACAAGAUAAGGUACCCUUGAACAUGUGGUUUUAAUGAUAUGCCAUGUUACUAUCAAUGGUGUGUGUUAGCAGCAUAGCUAUGUUCAACUAAGGAAAUGGCUAAAUACCAGAAGUUUCCAGAGCCUUGGAACAGAUUUACAGGGGAACUCUAUAUGUAUGUGUAUAUUUUAUUAAACACCCAUCUGCACUAUUCAGUGUUGCACUAAUGUGGAAUUUGAAAAACUAUAUUGCUGAUACUGUAUAUCUGCACAUCAUUCCUGAUUAGAUUGUUUAAAAGACAAUCUCAAAGGUCUAAGGUUUUAAAAUAAUUUGGUUGGUUUGAAAAUACACAGUCAUCUUGAAGGAAUCACUGUCAUGCAUGAAGUUGCUCAGAGUGGUCUUUAUUCUCUUCUUGGUCAAGGUUAACAAUUUCUAAAUGAUUGC
RNAcentral lists this long non-coding RNA (483 nucleotides) under Bos taurus (domestic cattle). RNAcentral describes it as "long non-coding RNA NONBTAT022251". Lineage: Eukaryota; Metazoa; Chordata; Mammalia; Artiodactyla; Bovidae. The record is from RNAcentral.